RNAcentral lists this long non-coding RNA (269 nucleotides) under Mus musculus (house mouse). RNAcentral's name for it is "long non-coding RNA chr7:127524696-127524965". The record is from RNAcentral. Lineage: Eukaryota; Metazoa; Chordata; Mammalia; Rodentia; Muridae.
GCCGGGUGUGGUGGCGCACGCCUUUAAUCCCAGCACUCAGGAGGCAGAGGCAGGUGGAUUUCUGAGUUCGAGGCCAGCCUGGUCUACAAAGUGAGUUCCAGAACAGCCAGGGCUAUACAGAGAAACCCUGUCUCGGAGAAAAAAAAAAAGAAAAAGAAAAAAAGAAAAGAAAGGAAAGAAAGAAAAUAAGAUUUCUCUCUGUAACCUUGGCUGUCCUGGAACUUACUCUAUAGACCAAACUGGUCCUGAAUUAAGAGGUCUGUUUGCCU